This 24-nucleotide microRNA is filed under the name Homo sapiens (human). Its description in RNAcentral is "hsa-miR-4787-3p". Lineage: Eukaryota; Metazoa; Chordata; Mammalia; Primates; Hominidae. The record is from miRBase by way of RNAcentral.
GAUGCGCCGCCCACUGCCCCGCGC